Molecule: ribosomal RNA, 465 nt
Filed under: uncultured bacterium
Lineage: Bacteria
Description: bacterial SSU rRNA
Rfam family: Bacterial small subunit ribosomal RNA
Source: RNAcentral
GGAGGAAAGCAGGGGAUCGCAAGACCUUGUGCUUUUGGAGCGGCCGAUGCCUGAUUAGCUAGUUGGUGGGGUAAAGGCCUACCAAGGCGUCGAUCAGUAGUUGGUCUGAGAGGACGACCAGCCACACUGGGACUGAGACACGGCCCAGACUCCUACGGGAGGCAGCAGUGGGGAAUUUUGGACAAUGGGCGCAAGCCUGAUCCAGCAAUGCCGCGUGAGUGAAGAAGGCCUUCGGGUUGUAAAGCUCUUUCAGUCGAGAAGAAAAGGUUGCGACUAAUAAUCGCAAUUCAUGACGGUACCGACAGAAGAAGCACCGGCUAACUACGUGCCAGCAGCCGCGGUAAUACGUAGGGUGCAAGCGUUAAUCGGAAUUACUGGGUGUAAAGGGUGCGCAGGCGGCUCUGUAAGUCAGAUGUGAAAUCCCCGGGCUUAACCUGGGAACUGCGUUUGAAACUACAAAGCUAG